This 270-nucleotide ribosomal RNA is filed under the name uncultured soil bacterium. RNAcentral's name for it is "partial 16S ribosomal RNA". It matches the Rfam family "Bacterial small subunit ribosomal RNA", at positions 26 to 281 of the family's 1533-position model. The record is from RNAcentral.
AGAAUCAACGCUGGCGGCGUGCCUAACACAUGCAAGUCGAACGCGAAAGGGGAGCAAUCCCUGAGUAGAGUGGCAAACGGGUGAGUAACACGUGGGUGACCUGCCUUCGAGUGGGGGAUAACGUUCCGAAAGGAACGCUAAUACCGCAUGACAUCCUGCUUUUGGAAAAGCGGAGAUCAAAGCUGGGGAUUCGCAAGAACCUAGCGCUUGAAGAGGGGCCCGCGCCUGAUUAGCUAGUUGGUGAGGUAACGGCUCACCAAGGCUACGAUC